This 353-nucleotide unclassified non-coding RNA is filed under the name uncultured fungus. RNAcentral describes it as "sequence contains ITS1". The stretch from base 1 to 100 matches the Rfam family "5.8S ribosomal RNA", at positions 50 to 154 of the family's 154-position model. The record is from RNAcentral. Lineage: Eukaryota; Fungi.
GAAGUGCGAAACGUGUCAUGACUUGCAGAUUCCCGAGAGCUGACGAAUCUCUGAAUGCAAAUGGCGGCCGCUCGACUCGGCCAUGGAUUGCAGAGUGUAGUGGUUCCGACUCCUCAUCCAACUGCAAUCGAGACCGCGCGCGGCGGCAACGCGGCGCGCGCCCAUUGCAGUUGCAUCUGCGCUUGCGCGUCCCAGCGAGCGUGAAAAGGCGAGUUAAGGGGCGCAACCUCGCACCGAGGGCCUCUUAACUACGGAACAACAAGACAGCGCAGCAAUGUGCUGUUUUCUUGAUAACGAACUUUCUACAAAUAACAAACCCACCUCUGCAAUGCAGGAAUACCCGCUGAACUUAA